GUGCAGCAGGCGCGAAACCUUUACACUGCACGAAAGUGCGAUAAGGCCAUACCGAGUGCCAUCCGCUGAGGGUGGCUUUUGCCUGGUCUAACCAGCCGGGUGAAUAUGGGGAGGGCAAGUCUGGUGUCAGCCGCCGCGGUAAUACCAGCUCCCCGAGUGGUUGGGACGAUUAUUGGGUCUGAAGCGUCCGUAGCCGGCCGGAAAAGUUCCCCGUUAAAUCUGGCGAUCCAAUCGUUGGGCUGCGGGGAAUACUCUUCGGCUUGGGGGCGAGGGAGGUCGGCGGUAGUCCCGGGGUAGGGGCGAAAUCCUAUAAUCCCGGGAGGACCACCAGGGGCGAAGGCGGACGACUAAAACGCGCCCGACGGUGAGGGACGAAAGCUGGGGGAGCGAACGGGAUUAGAUAUGAAGUUGAGUGUUUACCAGCUUCACUAGAUACCCCGGUAGUCC
Molecule: ribosomal RNA, 447 nt
Filed under: uncultured archaeon
Lineage: Archaea
Description: partial 16S ribosomal RNA
Rfam family: Archaeal small subunit ribosomal RNA
Source: RNAcentral